AGAGUUUGAUCCUGGCUCAGGACGAACGCUGGCGGCGUGCCUAAUACAUGCAAGUCGAACGUACUCUGGUAUUGAUUGGUGCUUGCAUCAUGAUUUACAUUUGAGUGAGUGGCGAACUGGUGAGUAACACGUGGGAAACCUGCCCAGAAGCGGGGGAUAACACCUGGAAACAGAUGCUAAUACCGCAUAACAACUUGGACCGCAUGGUCCGAGCUUGAAAGAUGGCUUCGGCUAUCACUUUUGGAUGGUCCCGCGGCGUAUUAGCUAGAUGGUGGGGUAACGGCUCACCAUGGCAAUGAUACGUAGCCGACCUGAGAGGGUAAUCGGCCACAUUGGGACUGAGACACGGCCCAAGCUCCUACGGGAGGCAGCAGUAGGGAAUCUUCCACAUUGGACGAAAGUCUGAUGGAGCAACGCCGCGUGAGUGAAGAAGGGUUUCGGCUCGUAAAACUCUGUUGUUAAAGAAGAACAUAUCUGAGAGUAACUGUUCAGGUAUUGACGGUAUUUAACCAGAAAGCCACGGCUAACUACGUGCCAGCAGCCGCGUUAAUACGUAGGUGGCAAGCGUUGUCCAGAUUUAUUGGGCGUAAAGCGAGCGCAGGCGGUUUUUUAAGUCUGAUGUGAAAGCCUUCGGCUCAACCGAAGAAGUGCAUCGGAAACUGGGAAACUUGAGUGCAGAAGAGGACAGUGGAACUCCAUGUGUAGCGGUGAAAUGCGUAGAUAUAUGGAAGAACACCAGUGGCGAAGGCGGCUGUCUGGUCUGUAACUGACGCUGAGGCUCGAAAGUAUGGGUAGCAAACAGGAUUAGAUACCCUGGUAGUCCAUACCGUAAACGAUGAAUGCUAAGUGUUGGAGGGUUUCCGCCCUUCAGUGCUGCAGCUAACGCAUUAAGCAUUCCGCCUGGGGAGUACGGCCGCAAGGCUGAAACUCAAAGGAAUUGACGGGGGCCCGCACAAGCGGUGGAGCAUGUGGUUUAAUUCGAAGCUACGCGAAGAACCUUACCAGGUCUUGACAUACUAUGCAAAUCUAAGAGAUUAGACGUUCCCUUCGGGGACAUGGAUACAGGUGGUGCAUGGUUGUCGUCAGCUCGUGUCGUGAGAUGUUGGGUUAAGUCCCGCAACGAGCGCAACCCUUAUUAUCAGUUGCCAGCAUUAAGUUGGGCACUCUGGUGAGACUGCCGGUGACAAACCGGAGGAAGGUAGGGAUGACGUCAAAUCAUCAUGCCCCUUAUGACCUGGGCUACACACGUGCUACAAUGGAUGGUACAACGAGUUGCGAACUCGCGAGAGUAAGCUAAUCUCUUAAAGCCAUUCUCAGUUCGGAUUGUAGGCUGCAACUCGCCUACAUGAAGUCGGAAUCGCUAGUAAUCGCGGAUCAGCAUGCCGCGGUGAAUACGUUCCCGGGCCUUGUACACACCGCCCGUCACACCAUGAGAGUUUGUAACACCCAAAGUCGGUGGUUUAACC
RNAcentral lists this ribosomal RNA (1466 nucleotides) under Lactiplantibacillus plantarum. RNAcentral describes it as "Lactobacillus plantarum partial 16S ribosomal RNA". It matches the Rfam family "Bacterial small subunit ribosomal RNA". The record is from RNAcentral. Lineage: Bacteria; Bacillati; Bacillota; Bacilli; Lactobacillales; Lactobacillaceae.